Molecule: long non-coding RNA, 1557 nt
Organism: Lonchura striata (white-rumped munia)
Lineage: Eukaryota; Metazoa; Chordata; Aves; Passeriformes; Estrildidae
Source: Ensembl
CUGCCCGUGGCCGUGACCGGCGGGCAGGCAAGCAGCAUUCCACAUGUGCUCCCGGGUUUCCCGAUUGGUGUGCUCCGCCGAAGGGGCUGGUCCUGGAAGUCAGCUCCUGUGCCUGUCACAGAUGAUAUUUUUAUGCAAGGAAACAAAACCAGGAUAUCUGAUGGACUGUGUUAUCUUUACAGACAGCUUGGAGCUACAGAUGCAAGGCAAGAAGUUUUAUGCUUGAACUUUGAAACUGUGGGGUUUCCUUGCAACCGUUUUGAUUUCCCUGUUCUGCACACUAGGACAGUCCAGAGAUCCUGCACUACAGAGAGGAGAGGUUUUGUGUGACUCUCUGCCGGCUCUGUCCUAUCUCCUGAGAUCCAUCCCAGAGGCAUUAGCUGGCCUUGUUUCAAAUGGGAGAGCCAGCUCUGACUGAUAUUGCUGAAGCUGAAAGGAUUCAGAUGUUUUUAUAUGAGAAUCCAAGCAUUAAUAAUGACUGUGUGAUCAUGGUUUUGGAAAGCUAAGAAUAUGUUUCCUGGCUACAUAUGCAGAUGUAUGUUUCUUAAGAAAAGCAAGAAUGAAUUUUGAUCUCUGAUGGAUGAAACCCAUUGGAAUGGAAACUAACAUCUAUGAAGAAGAACAGGGCUCACCUUAUCUUACAUCUGCCAAGUGCCUGGGAACUCCAAAGGAAGCCAAGUAUGAAGAAUACCAAAGAAAGACAGAAAAUCAGACAAGUCCAUAUGAAUUUCAGAAUUCAUUAUUGGAACCUGAGCUAAGCUUGCUGUCUGUGUCAUCCUUAUUGGACAACAAUGAGACAUCUUUACAACUUGGCAUGGCUGCAGGGCAUGCCAGUGCCACCAACCAGCCUGAGACAAAGCACCUUUGUGGAGAAUUAUCUUGUUCUACAAAGCACACAUCAAAGGAAGAUCCUUUUAACAUUCCCAGGAACACAGAAUGGCCAGUCCUCACAGGAAAAAAUUCAGACAAGAAACCAGAAACAAAUUAUGAGAUCAGAGUUAUAGAACACAAACCAUGUGCUAUCACAUUUUCUGAUUUUGAAUUUUUAUCACAUGAAGCUGACACUAAGCUCCAUAUUUGUGAGGCAGGAGAAGCAGAUGAUUUUUCUUCUGAAGAGGAAGAGAAAGGUAACAGAGGUGAUCAUGACACAUUUACAGAACUGCCACUUUAUGAGGCAUUUUUCAAACGUCUUCAGAGAAGGAAUGUUUCCCAAAGAAAGCAAGCUCAACAUGAAUUUACUAAAUAUCAGCACAUCUGUCAUUUAGAAGACUGCAAUAAUCAUUCUGAGAAGGCAUUGAAGGACCAUGACAAAGAAGAAAAACACAUGGAGCUAGAGUGCCCUGCUCAAGUAGAGACAGGCCUUUAUGGAGAUUAUCAAGAAAAAGGAUCUUGGAAAAAUAGAAGAGGAGACUACCAGUAUCUAAAUUGUUUACCUUACCGAAUGUUGACUGGAGCACGGCCUAAAUCUGACGUAAGUAGCCUCAAAAUUUACUAUGUAUCAUUAAAAUUGUCUAUGCAUUUCUUCAAAAUAAUUUGUUCCACACAUAUCAAAUGUUU